RNAcentral lists this small RNA (69 nucleotides) under Mus pahari (shrew mouse). RNAcentral describes it as "sRNA (MGP_PahariEiJ_G0008287.1)". The record is from RNAcentral. Lineage: Eukaryota; Metazoa; Chordata; Mammalia; Rodentia; Muridae.
GAUCUGAUUGCUCAUUGAUUUCUAGGGUUGAUUCAGUUGAUCUGGCUGGCUAGGUGGUACCCCCUUCCU